RNAcentral lists this ribosomal RNA (435 nucleotides) under uncultured bacterium. Its description in RNAcentral is "partial 16S ribosomal RNA". It matches the Rfam family "Bacterial small subunit ribosomal RNA", at positions 29 to 507 of the family's 1533-position model. The record is from RNAcentral.
AGCGAACGCUGGCGGCAGGCUUAACACAUGUAAGUCGAGCGGGCACUUUCGGGUGUCCGCGGCGGACGGGUGAGUAACGCGUGGGAACGUGCCCUCUGGUUCGGAAUAACUCAGGGAAACUUGAGCUAAUACCGGAUACGCCCUUUUGGGGAAAGGCUUGCUGCCGGAGGAUCGGCCCGCGUCUGAUUAGCUAGUUGGUGAGGUAACGGCUCACCAAGGCGACGAUCAGUAGCUGGUCUGAGAGGAUGAUCAGCCACACUGGGACUGAGACACGGCCCAGACUCCUACGGGAGGCAGCAGUGGGGAAUAUUGGACAAUGGGCGCAAGCCUGAUCCAGCCAUGCCGCGUGAGUGAUCAAGGCCUUAGGGUUGUAAAGCUCUUUUAUCCGGGACGAUAAUGACGGUACCGGAGGAAUAAGCCCCGGCUAACUUCGUG